UGUCAAAGUAGAUUUCCUUGAUGUCUUUUUUUUGCUGCUUUCUAGGAAUAGUGUUUAAGAUCAAGAAGUGCUGUGCAUUGGAUGACACAAGACAUAUAUAAGCCUAAAAUGUCACUUGUCCAUGAUUUUUCAUAGCUCUGUUUUAAUAGUAUACUUGUUCCAUCUAUCCCUUUUCUUCAUAAAUCAGAGUAAUUGCCUUUUCUACAUUAUUAUUAACUCUUUUCCUGAAAUUUAUAUGGCAGGAAAUUUUCAACUGUAAAGAAAGCUCUCUUGUCUGUUUCAAGUUGUCUCCAAGAGCACACCAAAGCUGACAUGUUUGAAGUACCAUGGUUGUACUUUUGAAGUGGUGAAAGUAUGACUGACAAGCUAAGGUUCUUUCUGAUCCAAUUCGAUCCCAAUUCUCUUGAUUUUGUUAUAGACUAAAUCAUCAGGCUUCUAUUUCUGAUUUAACAAGGCUAAUAAAUAAAGAUGAAAGCUUAAAAUUUGAUUAAUAAUGGCUAAUAACGUUACAAAGGGAUAGGUUAAUAGCUCUAGGUCAUCACUCUCUUUGAUAAUAUUAGGGUAUUACUCUCUUAGUAACUUGAGGUUACCAUUCUCUCAACAAUUUUCCUCACAAUUCACAUAAUUUCUACUGGCUUCUUACUACUACUUAUAUACUCAAGCUACCAAUUACAAAAGGUUAACCUAACAUUAAUUGGUGUUUGUCUUCUUCUGCACAUUAGCAAUUCAUAAAUCACACCCAUGUUGCCACUUUCUUAAGUGUUUCCUUAAUGUCCCUUGUCUUCAUGUGCUGAAGAGUAGCGGUUGCCAACUGCUGUGGUUGAUUCUUGUCCCCUCUUCCACUUUACUUCCUUGUGUACACCCACAAUGGUGGCUUGGUGGAGACUACAGGUGUGAGGAUUGUAAUCAUUUUCUGGAAUUUGGAGAUAGCUGAAGCUAUUAGAAAGCUUGGGCCUGAGGCCUGACUAUUCUUAGAGGCACGGCGGACAAUCACAGAGACAAAAAUAUGAAUGUAUUUUGUGGUUAAGAAAUUGAGCUGUAUAGACCUUGAUUGGGUACAAUUUGGUGUUACCUUUGAAGAUAUCAAACCCAAAUCAGCAACACAUCAUCGACAACCACAACAAUGGAAAGAGGACAAAGCAACGGUGGCUGACCCGUGGGCGCGAUCAGGAGGAGCUGCAACAACGUCUAAGAAAAAGACGGAACAAGGACAGUGAAUAUGAAAGCAAGAAAUACAACACCUUAAAUUAAAUAAGCUCCUGUUUGAAGGAAUAUCGCUGAAUAUGGGUAUUAUUGCUGCUAGUUUUUUGAAGCUUGUUUGUGAUUACUCGCUGUAUGAGACUAGAGUAUUCAAUACCCACUUGAAAAAGAUGCUACAUUAUGCUGUUACAUGGAGCUGCCCACCUGAGGGUAUUAUUAAAAUAAAUGUUGACGCUCACUUUGGUGCUGGCACAAGUGGUGGUCCAGGUGCUGUUGCGAGGGAUCACUUUGGCCGCAUAUUAUGGGCUGCGGAUAAUAAGACUCCUAUGGACUGGAAUGUGGAAUUGGCGGAGGUGGCUGCUGUUAGGGUGUCAAAUGGCUAAGAGAUUGGGUUACGAAAGUGUAUGAUCAUGAGUCAAAAGGGAGUAGGGGACGCAUUGAGGGUAAUCAACACCAUUAGAGGGUCUGCUGCUGGAUGGUCUCCUAUAAGGCUUAUUUACGAUGAUGUACGUAGAAUAGUUAUGUCUUUUAAUGCUUGUAUGUUUUCUCAUGUAAAAAGAGCAUAUAAUUAAUAAUACGGUUGCCCAUUUAGUGGCUAGGUGGGACACUAGUAAUUGCUCCGAGAAAGUUUGUAUGGGUUCUUUCCCCAAGGUCUUCUAUCCUUCACAGAACUUGACUUAAAUUAAUGAAAUGCUCUAAGUCAGUGCUUGGUA
Molecule: long non-coding RNA, 1913 nt
Organism: Chenopodium quinoa (quinoa)
Lineage: Eukaryota; Viridiplantae; Streptophyta; Magnoliopsida; Caryophyllales; Amaranthaceae
Exons: 6
Source: RefSeq, a predicted model, not a curated record